GUCUAUGGCCAUACCACCCUGAAAGAGCCCAAUCUCACCUGAUCGCAGAAGUGAAGCAGGGUCGGGCCUGGUUAGUACUUGGAUGGGAGAAAGAUCCCCUAGGUAUGAUCC
Macaca mulatta (Rhesus monkey) is the source of this 111-nucleotide non-coding RNA. Lineage: Eukaryota; Metazoa; Chordata; Mammalia; Primates; Cercopithecidae. The record is from Rfam.